AGAAUCAACGCUGGCGGCGUGCCUCAGACAUGCAAGUCGAACGAUUAAAGCUCUCUUCGGAGAGUGUAUAGAGUGGCGCACGGGUGAGUAACACGUAAGUAAUCUACCCUCGAGUGGGGAAUAACGUCCGGAAACGGACGCUAAUACCGCAUAAUGCAGCGGCACCGCAAGGUGACAGUUGUUAAAGAUUUUAUCGCUUGAGGAGGAGCUUGCGGCAGAUUAGCUAGUUGGUAAGGUAAUGGCUUACCAAGGCUACGAUCUGUAACCGGUCUAAGAGGACGGUCGGUCACACUGACACUGAAUAACGGGUCAGACUCCGUACGGGAGGCGAGCAGUCGGAAUUUUGGGCAAGUGGGCGAAAGCCGUGACCAGCAACGCCGCGUGAAGGA
This 389-nucleotide ribosomal RNA is filed under the name uncultured soil bacterium. Its description in RNAcentral is "bacterial SSU rRNA". It matches the Rfam family "Bacterial small subunit ribosomal RNA", at positions 26 to 408 of the family's 1533-position model. The record is from RNAcentral.